ACGUAGGUGGCGAGCGUUAUCCGGAAUUAUUGGGCGUAAAGGGCGCGUAGGCGGUGCGGUAAGUCACCUGUGAAAACUCUGGGCUCAACCCAGAGCCUGCAUCUGAAACUGGAGGGCUAGGGUGCUGGAGGGGAAAGCGGAAUUCCUGGUGUAGCGGUGAAAUGCGUAGAUAUCAGGAGGAACACCGGUGGCGAAGGCGGCUUUCUGGACAGUAACCGACGCUGAGGCACGAAAGCUAGGGGAGCAAACAGGA
RNAcentral lists this ribosomal RNA (253 nucleotides) under uncultured prokaryote. RNAcentral's name for it is "partial 16S ribosomal RNA". It matches the Rfam family "Bacterial small subunit ribosomal RNA", at positions 525 to 777 of the family's 1533-position model. The record is from RNAcentral.